CCCUGUAUAGUCCAUAUAUUAGUUCAACUUUGUAAAAACAUGAGAUUUUCUAUAAAAAUACAUGUGCCUUUGUAUAAAGUCCUAUGUUCUAAAAUCCAGUAGGACGUAUUUUCAUCUCCGUUUUCUUCAUAGAUCUGGCGCCUUUCCAAUGCUGCCAAUUCACUCCCGUGUGAGAUUGUUUCCCUGCCUUGAGGUAGCGACCAUUGAGGUUGGACUUGUGACAGUGGUUAUACCACCAAGCACCUUGCCAGUGCACAGCGCAGUUUUCGUUGCCAC
Non-coding RNA from Paramuricea clavata, 276 nucleotides. Lineage: Eukaryota; Metazoa; Cnidaria; Anthozoa; Malacalcyonacea; Plexauridae. The record is from the annotation of a GenBank genome assembly.